RNAcentral lists this ribosomal RNA (715 nucleotides) under uncultured Bacteroidota bacterium. RNAcentral's name for it is "bacterial SSU rRNA". It matches the Rfam family "Bacterial small subunit ribosomal RNA", at positions 82 to 795 of the family's 1533-position model. The record is from RNAcentral. Lineage: Bacteria; Pseudomonadati; Bacteroidota.
GCAAUACUAGAGACCGGCGCACGGGUGCGUAACGCGUAUGCAACCUACCUUUUACAGGGGAAUAGCCCAGAGAAAUUUGGAUUAAUGCCCCAUGGUAUAUUUUAGUGGCAUCACUAGAUUAUUAAAGUUCCAACGGUAAAAGAUGGGCAUGCGUCCUAUUAGCUGGAUGGUAAGGUAACGGCUUACCAUGGCUACGAUAGGUAGGGGUCCUGAGAGGGAGAUCCCCCACACUGGUACUGAGACACGGACCAGACUCCUACGGGAGGCAGCAGUGAGGAAUAUUGGACAAUGGGCGCAAGCCUGAUCCAGCCAUGCCGCGUGCAGGAAGAAGCAUCUAUGGUGUGUAAACUGCUUUUGUACGGGAAGAAACACCUCUACGUGUAGAGGCUUGACGGUACCGUAAGAAUAAGGAUCGGCUAACUCCGUGCCAGCAGCCGCGGUAAUACGGAGGAUCCAAGCGUUAUCCGGAAUCAUUGGGUUUAAAGGGUCCGUAGGCGGUUUGGUAAGUCAGUGGUGAAAGCCCUUCGCUCAACGGAGGAACGGCCAUUGAUACUGCCAGACUUGAAUUACUGGGAAGUAACUAGAAUAUGUAGUGUAGCGGUGAAAUGCUUAGAUAUUACAUGGAAUACCAAUUGCGAAGGCAGGUUACUACCGGUGGAUUGGCGCUGAUGGACGAAAGCGUGGGGAGCGAACAGGAUUAGAUACCCUGGUAGUC